UUGCAAAGCACUCUGAAAAGAGGGUGAAAAGAACCUGAAACCGUUAUGUUGAGAGCGUAUUGCAGCAGAGUGAAGGGUGCGUUUUGUUCAGCUUGCGCUUGCGUAGGUGUACUCAGAACGUUAUCCGCCAGUCGUGAGCUUCCGGUGGCUGAUUCAUCAGUUGCUGGGGGUGGAGGGCUCCCUUAGGGUGAGGACGAAUCUGGAUAAUGCUGCGAUUCGACCCGUCUUGAAACACGGACCAAGAAGUCUAGCGUACAUGCGAGUCAAAGGGUGUAAAAACCUGAGGGCGCAGUGAAAGCGAACUUUAAAACGUUGCAGUUUGAGGCGGCAUACGAUCGUUGAUUGUAGGUCCGACCUAGAGCAUGUAUGCUAGGACCCGAAAGAUGGUGAACUAUGCUUGAGUAGGGUGAAGCCAGGAGAAAUCCUGGUGGAAGCUCGUAGCGGUGCUGACGUGCAAAUCGCUCGUCUAACUUGAGUAUAGGGGCGAAAGACUAAUCGAACCAUCUGGUAGCUGGUUUCCUCCGAAGUUUCUCUCAGGAUAGCGGACCGAUAUGAUGUUGUUAUGUGC
Molecule: ribosomal RNA, 568 nt
Filed under: Melanothamnus akkeshiensis
Lineage: Eukaryota; Rhodophyta; Florideophyceae; Ceramiales; Rhodomelaceae
Also listed under: 2 other names
Description: eukaryotic LSU rRNA
Rfam family: Eukaryotic large subunit ribosomal RNA
Source: RNAcentral